This 207-nucleotide ribosomal RNA is filed under the name uncultured bacterium. Its description in RNAcentral is "partial 16S ribosomal RNA". It matches the Rfam family "Bacterial small subunit ribosomal RNA", at positions 284 to 524 of the family's 1533-position model. The record is from RNAcentral.
CGCCCGCCGCGCGCGGCGGGCGGGGCGGGGGCACGGGGGGCCUACGGGAGGCAGCAGUGGGGAAUGUUCCCAAAUUGGGCGCAGCCUGAUCUGCCUGCCGCGUGAGUGAUGAAGGCCUUAGGGUUGUAAAGCUCUUUUACCCGAGAUGAUAAUGACAGUAUCGGGAGAAUAAGCUCCGGCUAACUCCGUGCCAGCAGCCGCGGUAAU